GGCGGCGCCAUUUUGGAUGGAAGCUGGGGGAGCGAUCGUGCCGUGACCCUGGCGGUGUUUCUGAAGACUUCACGCUUCCAGGCCCACUUAAAUGGAUCACGUCCGUGGGAGCACCCAGCGCGGUUACUGGCCUUCCCCCAACGAAGAUCAGCAGUGAGCAGUUGGUUCUGAAUUCAAAUUCUGCAUUAAUUCAGGCUUUUCUACGAAGGCGUACUUUUUUUUCUAGUUCCUGGAAAUUGUCAAUAUUUUCCUUUUUAGCUUAUAUGUAGCCCGGAAAACUCAAGUUAAACUUAAAAGUGAAUUGUGAUUAUUUAUAUAUUUUUAAUUAUUAAACCUUUAUAUUUAUAUUCAUUUGUGAAGGCAAUUUGUAUCUUUAACGACGUUUUUAGUUUCUCCAGCGUUGUUUGAUUUUAGACAAUAUAUGCUGUGGAGCUUAAAUAAAAUAUGCUGUAAAUUCGGC
This is a long non-coding RNA of Galeopterus variegatus (Sunda flying lemur), 460 nucleotides long. RefSeq lists it as uncharacterized. The transcript has 2 exons. The record is from RefSeq and is a predicted model, not a curated record. NCBI's taxonomy places the organism in Eukaryota, Metazoa, Chordata, Mammalia, Dermoptera, Cynocephalidae.